Molecule: ribosomal RNA, 274 nt
Filed under: uncultured bacterium
Lineage: Bacteria
Description: partial 16S ribosomal RNA
Rfam family: Bacterial small subunit ribosomal RNA
Source: RNAcentral
AUACGGAGGGGGCAAGCGUUAUUCGGAAUCACUGGGCGUAAAGGACGCGUAGGCGGGUUGGCAAGUCAGAUGUGAAAUCCUACAGCUUAACUGUAGAACUGCAUUUGAAACUGCUAACCUAGAGUAUGGGAGGGGGAGAUGGAAUUAGUGGUGUAGGGGUAAAAUCCGUAGAUAUCACUAGGAAUACCGAAAGCGAAGGCGAUCUCCUGGAACAUAACUGACGCUAAGGCGUGAAAGCGUGGGGAGCAAACAGGAUUAGAAACCCUAGUAGUCC